Molecule: small nuclear RNA, 162 nt
Organism: Otolemur garnettii (small-eared galago)
Lineage: Eukaryota; Metazoa; Chordata; Mammalia; Primates; Galagidae
Gene: U1
Rfam family: U1 spliceosomal RNA
About the family: U1 is a small nuclear RNA (snRNA) component of the spliceosome (involved in pre-mRNA splicing). Its 5' end forms complementary base pairs with the 5' splice junction, thus defining the 5' donor site of an intron.
Source: Ensembl
GCACUUACCUGGCAGGUGAGAUGCCAUGAUCAUGAAGGUGGUUUUCCCAGGGCGAGGCUCAUCCAUUGCACUCCAGAUGUGCUGACCCUGGCGACUUCCCCAUAUGUGGGAAACUCGACUGCAUAAUUUGUGGUAGUGGGAGACUGCAUUUGCACUCUCCCC